Molecule: ribosomal RNA, 494 nt
Filed under: uncultured bacterium
Lineage: Bacteria
Description: partial 16S ribosomal RNA
Rfam family: Bacterial small subunit ribosomal RNA
Source: RNAcentral
GACGAACGCUGGCGGCGCGCUUAACACAUGCAAGUCGAACGGAAAGGCCUGCUUUCCCUUGUGGAUUGCGGGUACUCGAGUGGCGAACGGGUGAGUAACACGUGAGUGAUCUGCCCCCAACUUGGGUAUAAGCCUGGGAAACUGGGUCUAAUUCCCGAUAGGACUGCAGGGUGGUGCCUGUGGUGGAAAACGAUUUUCUAGUGGUUGGGGAUGAGCUCGCGGCCUAUCAGCUUGUUGGUGGGGUAAUGGCCUACCAAGGCGGCGACGGGUAGCCGGCCUGAGAGGGUGGACAGCCACAUUGGGACUGGGAUACGGCCCAGACUCCUACGGGAGGCAGCAGUGGGGAAUAUUGCACCAUGGGCGGAAGCCUGAUGCAGCGACGCCGCGUGGGGGAUGACGGCCUUCGGGUUGUAAACUCCUUUCGACCGCGAGGAAGCCACCUGGUUGGAAGGGUGGUGACGGUAGUGGUAGAAGAAGCACCGGCUAACUACGUG